AUUCUUAAGUCGCUGAAACCAUAUGGUACGGGGGAACCAUUUUUGUGGGUUGUUAUUUAAUCCACGGGGUGAAUCCUUUUAAGGUAGGGCUACUCAAUGGUCCGAAUCCGACAGCUAACCUCGUAAGCGUUAAAUGAGAAGGAAG
Molecule: small RNA, 145 nt
Filed under: Bacillus sp. (in: firmicutes)
Lineage: Bacteria; Bacillati; Bacillota; Bacilli; Caryophanales; Bacillaceae
Description: Bacillus sp. c-di-AMP sequence
Rfam family: c-di-AMP riboswitch aptamer (ydaO/yuaA leader)
About the family: This family represents a conserved RNA structure found upstream of the ydaO and yuaA genes in Bacillus subtilis and related genes in other bacteria.
Source: RNAcentral